This 468-nucleotide ribosomal RNA is filed under the name uncultured bacterium. RNAcentral's name for it is "partial 16S ribosomal RNA". It matches the Rfam family "Bacterial small subunit ribosomal RNA", at positions 28 to 507 of the family's 1533-position model. The record is from RNAcentral.
GACGAACGCUGGCGGCGUGCUUAACACAUGCCAGUCGAACGGAAAGGCCCUGCUUUUGUGGGGUGCUCGAGUGGCGAACGGGUGAGUAACACGCGAGUAACCUGCCCUUGACUUUGGGAUAACUUCAGGAAACUGGGGCUAAUACCGGAUAGGAGCUCCUGCUGCAUGGUGGGGGUUGGAAAGUUUCGGCGGUUGGGGAUGGACUCGCGGCUUAUCAGCUUGUUGGUGGGGUAGUGGCUUACCAAGGCUUUGACGGGUAGCCGGCCUGAGAGGGUGACCGGCCACAUUGGGACUGAGAUACGGCCCAGACUCCUACGGGAGGCAGCAGUGGGGAAUAUUGCACAAUGGGCGGAAGCCUGAUGCAGCAACGCCGCGUGCGGGAUGACGGCCUUCGGGUUGUAAACCGCUUUAGCCUGUGACGAAGCGUGAGUGACGGUAAUGGGUAAAGAAGCACCGGCUAACUACGUG